UGCAGUCGACGCACUGACGUCGACCGAAGCUGCUUGCAGUGGACGUUGAUUGACGUGAGUGGCGGACGGGUGAGUAACACGUGGGUAACCUACCCUUAAGUGGGGGAUAACAUUUGGAAACAGAUGCUAAUACCGCAUAACCAUUCAGACCACAUGGUCUGAAUGUAAAAGACGGCCUUUGGCUGUCACUUUUGGACGGACCCGCGGCGUAUUAGUUAGUUGGUAAGGUAACGGCUUACCAAGACAAUGAUACGUAGCCGACCUGAGAGGGUAAUCGGCCACAUUGGGACUGAGACACGGCCCAAACUCCUACGGGAGGCAGCAGUAGGGAAUCUUCCACAAUGGACGAAAGUCUGAUGGAGCAACGCCGCGUGAGUGAAGAAGGUUUUAGGAUCGUAAAACUCUGUUGUUGGAGAAGAACAGGGACUAGAGUAACUGUUAGUCCUUUGACGGUAUCCAACCAGAAAGCCACGGCUAACUACGUGCCAGCAGCCGCGGUAAUACGUAGGUGGCAAGCGUUGUCCGGAUUUAUUGGGCGUAAAGCGAGCGCAGGCGGUUUUUUAAGUCUGAUGUGAAAGCCUUCGGCUUAACCGAAGAAGUGCAUUAGAAACUGGGAAACUUGAGUGCAGAAGAGGACAGUGGAACUCCAUGUGUAGCGGUGAAAUGCGUAGAUAUAUGGAAGAACACCAGUGGCGAAGGCGGCUGUCUGGUCUGUAACUGACGCUGA
This 727-nucleotide ribosomal RNA is filed under the name Loigolactobacillus coryniformis. RNAcentral describes it as "bacterial SSU rRNA". It matches the Rfam family "Bacterial small subunit ribosomal RNA", at positions 45 to 749 of the family's 1533-position model. Lineage: Bacteria; Bacillati; Bacillota; Bacilli; Lactobacillales; Lactobacillaceae. The record is from RNAcentral.